This 377-nucleotide ribosomal RNA is filed under the name Wolbachia endosymbiont of Aleurocanthus camelliae. RNAcentral's name for it is "bacterial SSU rRNA". It matches the Rfam family "Bacterial small subunit ribosomal RNA", at positions 1036 to 1413 of the family's 1533-position model. Lineage: Bacteria; Pseudomonadati; Pseudomonadota; Alphaproteobacteria; Rickettsiales; Anaplasmataceae. The record is from RNAcentral.
CAGUGUUGCAUGGUGUCGUCAGCUCGUGUCGUGAGAUGUUGGGUUAAGUCCCGCAACGAGCGCAACCCUCAUCCUUAGUUGCCAUCAGGUAAUGCUGGGUACUUUAAGGAAACUGCCAGUGAUAAGCUGGAGGAAGGUGGGGAUGAUGUCAAGUCAUCAUGGCCUUUAUGGGGUGGGCUACACACGUGCUACAAUGGUGUCUACAAUGGGUUGCAAGGUGCGCAAGCUUGAGCUAAUCCCUAAAAGACAUCUCAGUUCGGAUUGUACUCUGCAACUCGAGUACAUCAAGUUGGAAUCGCUAGUAAUCGUGGAUCAGCAUGCCACGGUGAAUACGUUCUCGAGUCUUGUACACACUGCCCGUCACGCCAUGCGAAUUG